This 302-nucleotide ribosomal RNA is filed under the name uncultured bacterium. Its description in RNAcentral is "partial 16S ribosomal RNA". It matches the Rfam family "Bacterial small subunit ribosomal RNA", at positions 508 to 809 of the family's 1533-position model. The record is from RNAcentral.
GCAGUAGCCGCGGGAACACGAAGGGUGCAAGCGUUACUCGGAAUUACUGGGCGUAAAGCGUGCGUAGGUGGUGGUUUAAGUCCGUUGUGAAAGCCCUGGGCUCAACCUGGGAAUUGCAGUGGAUACUUGGUCACUAGAGUGUGGUAGAGGAUAGUGGAAUUUCCGGUGUAGCAGUGAAAUGCGUAGAGAUCGGAAGGAACAUCUGUGGCGAAGGCGACUAUCUGGGCCAACACUGACACUGAGGCACGAAAGCGUGGGGAGCAAACAGGAUUAGAUACCCCUGUAGUCCCUGUCUCUUAUAA